This 568-nucleotide long non-coding RNA is filed under the name Felis catus (domestic cat). RNAcentral describes it as "lncRNA (ENSFCAG00000051664.1)". Lineage: Eukaryota; Metazoa; Chordata; Mammalia; Carnivora; Felidae. The record is from RNAcentral.
UUAAUCUUUGAGCCGAGUCUGGAGGACGUGCUCCUUUCUGACAGCCUACUUUGUCAUCGCUGUUCCCAGUCACAGCUGAAUCUGUCAACAUGAUCGCUUCACCUACUCGCCAUGCACAGCCUAGAGCUGCAAAUCCCGGUUGGAGUAGAUAAAUCCCCUGCCUCUUCGAUGGAGCUGUGGAUUUCAGGUGUUGCUUCAUGUGCUCCAGUCAAUUUGCAUGAAGCUAGUACAAGAAAGGAACCACAUCACUUACGUCUGUGAACUUUCUGGAACAAAAAUCUGGCACAUCAGUCGGUUACUUUAUCCAUUACAAUUCACACAAGUGGAAAGGCUACAGCCAAGGGCACGCCCGAUGCAGUUCUCAGGCUUUCCUUGAGUAACCCUAUGCCACACGCACUCCUGUUCACACCGCAGCCCACCCAGCCAGCUUCGGGAAGUACGCGCCAGACGACUGUUCUGGCUCCGAGGAACCUGGGGUAGAGAGCGCGUAGCGUGCACAGCAAGCCGUUGAGUCUGUGGUCCCAUCUAAGCCCUCUAGGGCAAAGGGAGGUGUCCCCAGGAGAAGAGA